UACGACUACAUAUCAGGCAUAUCAAUAAGCGGAGGAAAAGAAACUAACAAGGAUUCCCCUUAGUAACGGCGAGUGAAGCGGGAAGAGCUCAAAUUUGAAAUCUUCAAGGUUCUACCUUGACGAAUUGUAGUUUAAAGAAGUGUUUUCUGUUAGAUGAGUAGCAAAAGUUCCUUGGAAUGGGACAUCAUAGAGAGGUGAGAAUCCCGUAUUUGGUUAUUCAUUCUAGCUUUGUGAUACACUUUCAAAGAGUCGGAUUGUUUGGGAAUGCAGUCCAAAAUGGGUGGUAAAUUUCAUCUAAAGCUAAAUAUUGGCGAGAGACCGAUAGCGAACAAGUACCGUGAGGGAAAGAUGAAAAGAACUUUGAAAAGAGAGUUAAACAGUACGUGAAAUUGUCAAAAGGGAAGCGUUUGACACCAGUGUUGUUUUUCCAAAAAUCAAUUAGCGAAUGGCUUGAUUUUGUGUUGUAUUGACCUUAUCAGCUUUCUUCACUUUUUUCGAGUCUUUCUUAAUGCACUUUUUGGUUAACAAGUCAACAUCAAUUUCUUUUGUUGUAAAAGAGUAUUCGGAAGGUGGCUUUCUUUUCGGAGAAAGUGUUUAUAGCCCUAUACUUCUACAAUCGGAGAGAUUGAGGUCUGCAGCGUAGAUCCUUUCGAGGUUAGAUACAUCUGUGCUAAGUUGUAGCUUUUCAUAGACAACUUGUUGACUAUGUUUAGUCAUGCGGCUUACUCGCUUAGUGCUAUUUUACCUACGCUUAGGAUGUUGAGUAGCGACAUACGCAC
RNAcentral lists this ribosomal RNA (779 nucleotides) under uncultured Neocallimastigales. Its description in RNAcentral is "partial large subunit ribosomal RNA". It matches the Rfam family "Eukaryotic large subunit ribosomal RNA", at positions 24 to 649 of the family's 3401-position model. The record is from RNAcentral. Lineage: Eukaryota; Fungi; Neocallimastigomycota; Neocallimastigomycetes; Neocallimastigales.